RNAcentral lists this ribosomal RNA (760 nucleotides) under uncultured Inocybe. RNAcentral's name for it is "partial 28S ribosomal RNA". It matches the Rfam family "Eukaryotic large subunit ribosomal RNA", at positions 216 to 962 of the family's 3401-position model. The record is from RNAcentral. Lineage: Eukaryota; Fungi; Basidiomycota; Agaricomycetes; Agaricales; Cortinariaceae.
GAAUCCCGUCUUUGACACGGACUGCCUGUACAUUAUGGUGUGCUCUCGAAGAGUCGAGUUGUUUGGGAAUGCAGCUCAAAAUGGGUGGUAAAUGCCAUCUAAAGCUAAAUAUUGGCGAGAGACCGAUAGCGAACAAGUACCGUGAGGGAAAGAUGAAAAGAACUUUGGAAAGAGAGUUAAACAGUACGUGGAAUUGCUGAAAGGGAAACGCUUGAAGUCAGUCGCGUUGGCUAGAAAUCAACCUUGCUUUUGCUUUGUGUACUUUCUGGUUGACGGGUCAGCAUCAAUUUUGACCACUGGAUAAAGUCUUUGGGAAUGUGGCAUCUUUGGAUGUGUUAUAGCCCAUUGUCGCAUACGGUGGUUGGGAUUGAGGAACUCAGCACGCCGCAAGGCCGGGUUUCGACCACGUUCGUGCUUAGGAUGCUGGCAUAAUGGCUUUAAUCGACCCGUCUUGAAACACGGACCAAGGAGUCUAACAUGCCUGCGAGUGUUUGGGUGGAAAAACCCAUGCGCGCAAUGAAAGUGAAAGUUGAGAUCCUCUUCAAAGGGGGAGCAUUGACGCCCGGACCAGACCUUUUGUGACGGAUCCGCGGUAGAGCAUGCAUGUUGGGACCCGAAAGAUGGUGAACUAUGCCUGAAUAGGGUGAAGCCAGAGGAAACUCUGGUGGAGGCUCGUAGCGAUUCUGACGUGCAAAUCGAUCGUCAAAUUUGGGUAUAGGGGCGAAAGACUAAUCGAACCAUCUAGUAGCUGGUUCCUGCC